Molecule: ribosomal RNA, 301 nt
Filed under: uncultured bacterium
Lineage: Bacteria
Description: partial 16S ribosomal RNA
Rfam family: Bacterial small subunit ribosomal RNA
Source: RNAcentral
CAGUCGCCACGGGAAUACGAAGGGUGCAAGCGUUACUCGGAAUUACUGGGCGUAAAGCGUGCGUAGGUGGUGGUUUAAGUCCGUUGUGAAAGCCCUGGGCUCAACCUGGGAAUUGCAGUGGAUACUGGGCAACUAGAGUAAGGUAGAGGAUAGUGGAAUUUCCGGUGUAGCAGUGAAAUGCGUAGAGAUCGGAAGGAACAUCUGUGGCGAAGGCGACUAUCUGGGCCAUUACUGACACUGAGGCACGAAAGCGUGGGGAGCAAACAGGAUUAGAUACCCCUGUAGUCCUUGUCUCUUAUAC